This 229-nucleotide unclassified non-coding RNA is filed under the name Hevea brasiliensis (rubber tree). Lineage: Eukaryota; Viridiplantae; Streptophyta; Magnoliopsida; Malpighiales; Euphorbiaceae. The record is from RNAcentral.
UGACCUGGAGGACGGAGGUGAGGAUGCUGGGGCCGGCGGAGAGGUUGAAGUUGAAGACGGAGGCGUCCUGGAGGUAGAACUUUGGGUGGGUGGGGCGGAGGGUGAGCCAGAUGACUAGGAUGAUGAAGAGGAUGAGGAGGAUGAAAGCGAUGAUGGCGGCGAAGAUGCGGCGGUAGAGCGUGUGGCGGCCGGAGCCGCCGUGGUUGCCGCAGUCUUUUGUCAUGGUGAG